GGAUGGAAGAAUAAUGGUUGGAAUAGUAACCCAGGCCCUGACACAUAUUAAGGUCUUGGCUGGCCAAUAAUGAAGGACUGUCUGUGUCUAUGAUCACACCUCUUGCUCAUGAAUGGAGAAGUCACUGGACUGAUGAGGUCAUUUCCCUUGCAGCUGAAGCUAUGGUCCUUUCAGUCACAGCCCAGUUUAACUGGGUGCUCACCAGAAGUUGGCAUUCAUUGUUGGACCACCUUCUGAGGAGAAUACAGCUCUGCAUUACUGAAAUGU
Molecule: long non-coding RNA, 267 nt
Organism: Polypterus senegalus (gray bichir)
Lineage: Eukaryota; Metazoa; Chordata; Cladistia; Polypteriformes; Polypteridae
Exons: 3
Source: RefSeq, a predicted model, not a curated record